UCGAAGAUAUGGUAUAUGUUUAAAUACCUGUAUAUAAUGAACAGAGGUUUGAACUCUUUCUCUUUUCAACUGUCCUUUUCCAAAUUUUCCAAUAUGACUUUAUUUUUAGGUAAAAAACAUAAUAUCUUUCUCACAUGCUUAUCAGCUUUCAAUUGGAGUUGCACGUGGACUUUCAUGGCAUUCUGAUUGUGUACAGUACAAGUUCGUCAUGAUUCAACAGGCCCAUAGCUAAAGUAUCAUAAAAAAGUACAAAAUUUAUAAAAUUAAGCCUUUUCUUAUAAUUUUCAGAAACUUUAAAUUGGUGCAGAGUUUGGUGAAAGUGGAAUGAUAAAGAUGGGCAAGCAAAGGAUAAAUGUAAAAUAUGUACUGAAAGACGAUCGAAAUGGGUACAAAGCAGGGGCUUUGAAAGAAAGGUUGAAGCAUUCCAAUGUUAAGCAAUGUGAUUAUGUUUCUAUUUGUGAUGCUGAUUUUUAACCCGAACUUUUUUUUUUUUUUUUUUUUUUUUUUUGUGUAUACAAAUCGCUUCACAUGGCAUGGUCAGGUAUUUCUGAGGCAUUUACAUUAAUCAGUUACAAAUAGUUCUAUAAAUAAAGCCCAGAGAAUAUGAGGAGCAUCACAACAUGUUCCUUCUUCGUUUGAUUAGCACUUGGUAGGGCGGACUUUCUUAAGCACUAUCUUGACAUUAGUUGUUCACAAGGUUUUUAAAUUGUUGAAUUGAUAUUAACAGGCUAAGUCUGAUUAUCAAUUUCUUGCAAUUUUACUGUUAUAUCUCAUUUAUAUUUUGCUUUUUGUACGCAUAAGAAAGAAACAUGAUACUGCAACUAUUCCUACUUUGCAGUUAAGAUAAUUCGCCUGAAUCCAGUUUCCCAGACAACCUGUUUCAAAUUGAAACAAAGUCAAAAUGUUCACCCUUUGUACUUAAAGUAAAACCUCCAUGUGGAAGAAUUUCUUCUUUAUCUUUUAUUCAAUUUGAAAAAUAUAUCAUGUGUUGCAUUGGCUCCUCUUUCAAUUCGUUCCACUCAAUAUCUUACACACCGUAAUAAGUACUUUUAGUUGAUUCGAAUGGAGAGAAGAAUACUCUAUUACCAGCUUCCGUGCUAUGUUUGGAAAGAACAAACAUGAAACUAUAGGCGUAUCAUUUUGGAAAGGAAGAUCGGCCAGUAGAGCCAAAACUGCUUGUGUUCUUCAGAUAGAUUUUCACAAGACUGGAUUCUGUUUAUCUUUUAUUUUGAGAAAUCAAAAUCUCAAUUUUCCCCGCAAAUUUGUCCAUGAACUCCAGUCAAAGUAUCCGAAGUUGGUUGACCAAUUCGAGACAAUCCCACACCCGCAUCCGUCCCAGUCCCCUGUCGAGAUGGGUUCGGCAUCAAAAUUAAGAGUUCGCUUAACUUAGAAGGUGACAACAACCACCACUUCUGUUUGAUAUGAUAUAAGAGCAUUUUGGCACGCUUGCUGGAAUUACCCCAAUGUUCUAAGUAUGUCUGCUUUGUUUUUAAUGUGUUAUUCCACCUCACUUCUCCUUUUGGUUACCUAUUAUUAUUGUUGUUGGUUUUCCAAAAUAAAUUGUUACCUUCCGGGUUAUUUCACUGACAGUUUUGGGUGUGAAGUAGGUAAAUAUUUGGUUAUGUUUUUUCCAGGUUGUUAGAACUAUUCUCAAACAUUAAAAGAACAGGACAAUGGCACGCUUGAUAUAUGCUAAUGUCACCUAUGAAUACAUUCUUUUAAAGGUAAUUUAGCAUAUCGCCCGAUGAAUCAGCUGGCUGAGUUUGCCGCAGAACAUAUUGGAUAGUUUUGAGUAGCAAGCUUAUUAUUAUUCUCAUUGUUCUUUCUUCUAUUUUGAGUAGCGAGCUUAUUAUUAUUCUCAUUGUUAUUAAAUUUCACCCAUUUUCCUGUAUGUGCCAGUAGUAUUGUGUUAUUGUAGCUGGAUAAGUAUUUUGUUUAGUUCUAUACUGACUGUGGCUUUUAACAGAUUUGGUAAACUUCUCCAUUUGUAGAUGCUAUAAGUUUGUUUGAAUUUUAGAAUUAUGAAGCUGGUUUAGAGGCAGAAGUAGUUCUUCUAGAUCUGUUGAGACAAGCAAAAGUCCCUUAACAUGGUGAGCUUUCCCGAGUAGAAGGCCUUCAUUGAAAGGUAGAUUGAGCAGCCUAGAUCAAAAGCCUCACCAUGUGAACUGUUGGAAGGAUCCAAAAUCCUCUUUGAUGUCGUCAAUUACUUUGAGAAUGAUGUUAGUUGCUUAAUAUGGUUUGCUAUCAUUAUGUAUCAUGAUUAAUCUG
This is a long non-coding RNA of Lycium ferocissimum, 2268 nucleotides long. RefSeq lists it as uncharacterized. The transcript has 2 exons. The record is from RefSeq and is a predicted model, not a curated record. NCBI's taxonomy places the organism in Eukaryota, Viridiplantae, Streptophyta, Magnoliopsida, Solanales, Solanaceae.